GGCUCAGGACGAACGCUGGCGGCGUGCUUAACACAUGCAAGUCGAACGAUGAACCUCCUUCGGGAGGGGAUUAGUGGCGAACGGGUGAGUAACACGUGGGCAAUCUGCCCUGCACUCUGGGACAAGCCCUGGAAACGGGGUCUAAUACCGGAUACUGACCCGCUUGGGCAUCCAAGCGGUUCGAAAGCUCCGGCGGUGCAGGAUGAGCCCGCGGCCUAUCAGCUUGUUGGUGAGGUAAUGGCUCACCAAGGCGACGACGGGUAGCCGGCCUGAGAGGGCGACCGGCCACACUGGGACUGAGACACGGCCCAGACUCCUACGGGAGGCAGCAGUGGGGAAUAUUGCACAAUGGGCGAAAGCCUGAUGCAGCGACGCCGCGUGAGGGAUGACGGCCUUCGGGUUGUAAACCUCUUUCAGCAGGGAAGAAGCGAAAGUGACGGUACCUGCAGAAGAAGCGCCGGCUAACUACGUGCCAGCAGCCGCGGUAAUACGUAGGGCGCGAGCGUUGUCCGGAAUUAUUGGGCGUAAAGAGCUCGUAGGCGGCUUGUCACGUCGGUUGUGAAAGCCCGGGGCUUAACCCCGGGUCUGCAGUCGAUACGGGCAGGCUAGAGUUCGGUAGGGGAGAUCGGAAUUCCUGGUGUAGCGGUGAAAUGCGCAGAUAUCAGGAGGAACACCGGUGGCGAAGGCGGAUCUCUGGGCCGAUACUGACGCUGAGGAGCGAAAGCGUGGGGAGCGAACAGGAUUAGAUACCCUGGUAGUCCACGCCGUAAACGGUGGGCACUAGGUGUGGGCGACAUUCCACGUCGUCCGUGCCGCAGCUAACGCAUUAAGUGCCCCGCCUGGGG
RNAcentral lists this ribosomal RNA (845 nucleotides) under Streptomyces sp. RNAcentral describes it as "bacterial SSU rRNA". It matches the Rfam family "Bacterial small subunit ribosomal RNA", at positions 21 to 878 of the family's 1533-position model. The record is from RNAcentral. Lineage: Bacteria; Bacillati; Actinomycetota; Actinomycetes; Kitasatosporales; Streptomycetaceae.